GUUUCAAUAAUGGAGAGAUUUGGAACUGAUUUCAUGGUACAAAAAGUUUGUAAACGAAAGAAAAGUGAGAAGGUAGUUUAGCCGUGAAACUCUUCAUAAACUUUGGUUGUUUUAAUGACUACCUUACCGUGAGAGUUUUUGUACGAAACUUAGUAGAAAUGUUGUUCACACAUGGAAGAUUUAGUGUACCAAGUUUGAUGUAUUUCUAAUGCCAACUUGAUGACCAAAUGAUAUUUCGAAUCUAGUUUUAAACCUGGAAAAUA
This 263-nucleotide long non-coding RNA is filed under the name Coffea arabica (coffee). Its description in RNAcentral is "long non-coding RNA (CARA_LNC008169)". The record is from RNAcentral. Lineage: Eukaryota; Viridiplantae; Streptophyta; Magnoliopsida; Gentianales; Rubiaceae.